RNAcentral lists this ribosomal RNA (449 nucleotides) under uncultured prokaryote. RNAcentral's name for it is "bacterial SSU rRNA". It matches the Rfam family "Bacterial small subunit ribosomal RNA", at positions 355 to 796 of the family's 1533-position model. The record is from RNAcentral.
UCGAGAAUCAUUCACAAUGGGGGCAACCCUGAUGGUGCAACGCCGCGUGGAGGAUGAAGGACCUAGGUUCGUAAACUCCUGUCAUCAAAGAGUAAUGCAUAUGAGUUAAUACCUUGUAUGCUUGAUAGUAUUUGAAGAGGAAGGGACGGCUAACUUCGUGCCAGCAGCCGCGGUAAUACGAAGGUCCCAAGCGUUGUUCGGAAUCACUGGGCGUAAAGGGAGCGUAGGCUGUCGGGUCAGUCAGAUGUGAAAUCUCGGGGCUCAACCUCGAAACUGCAUUUGAUACUGCCUGACUAGAGUAUUGGAGAGGAGAUUGGAAUUCUCGGUGUAGCAGUGAAAUGCGUAGAGAUCGAGAGGAAGACCAAUGGCGAAGGCAAAUCUCUGGACAAUGACUGACGCUGAGGCUCGAAGGCUAGGGGAGCGAAAGGGAUUAGAUACCCCCGUAGUCC